UUUAUGUUGCUCGGCUCGAACAGCGAAAGCGCUCGCCAAAGCUCGAGCUCCCGGCGUUCUAAGCCUCGCAACAUAAACUUCUCUGUAUUCAACGCUAACCUAGUAUUCUCUAUUUAUACAUCGAUGGAAAGAGUAAAAACAAACCUAAAUGAAAAUGUUAUUAUAAAAUGCGAAAAAGGAAGUGUCGGGUUAAUAAAGAGAUGGUUUUUCGAAAUGACGCAGAAAAAAAUGCGUGUAAUGCGUAAGAAAUAUCUAGAUAGCGAAGUUAUUUGCUGAUUAAUCCUAUUUCAUAUGUUUUAAAAGUUAUUGAGCAGCUGAAUCCGAUAAUAUGGUCCCUUUGUAAAUUGAACGUACGUAAAUUAUGUUAUUAUUUCUUUGAAAAUGUAUAGUCGUCAUGUAAUGGGCGUUCAAAACUUGAAAACUUUUUCCGGGUACAAAAUUCAAGCAUUUAUAUCCAUUUGAAAGGAAUGAAUGAUUCUAUAAGCAGUGGUGAAAAGUUCUUUGUUCAAUGGAAAUAUCUAUAUAUGAUCUAUAAGGUAAUUAAUUUAGUAUUUGUUGAUAGUUGACCGCCGAAAAUGUCUAGCCACCGUGUAAUGCUUGCAUUUUUGACGUUUGAGACCCUGACGUUAAAAAUGAAUUGCGUUGUUUUUUCAAUACAAAGCCCUUUUUAAAGUCAACGCGUUAGAAUAAAGAAAUUCUGUUUCAUAAGUUGUAAAAGUACACGAAAAACUGAAAUAAAAGUAUUGGUUUAAUAGGUAAAAGUAACAUCUUGCCGAUAAAAGAUGACACAAUGAAAUGCUUAUUUUGCGACUUGCAUUAUACAGACAUAGAUAUAUAAAAUUGUGUGAACAUUUUACUAUAUUUUUUGUUUGUUUGUAGUUUCCUUUAUGAAGUUACUUAGCAAUAUUUUUAAAUACUCACAUUUGAAUAACCUAAACCUCCCCCUAAUCUCCCGAGCCAUUAGUGUUCUACACAAUUUGAAAUGAAUUGCGCGACUCUGUCGGGUAUUGAACCCGCGUCCCCCGUGCCCGAGGCAAACUUUAUACAACUGAACCAUCGCGGUCGAUUACUAAAAAAUGAUUAUAUGCAUGCAUUUUGUGUGUUUAAGAUGCAGUUUAGAUCAAACGCAGAAAAAGCCAGUACUAUAAAAAAAAGAAAAAGAGAAAAAGAAAGAGAAAGAAAAUUAAAACAUUACCGAAACAAUAGUGACAAAAUUAACUCGCCAAAACGGGAAAACAGAUUAGGCAUCCCUAUUCCUGCAACAAGAGCUCGGUCAGAAUGGAUGAGAUGGAAAACACCGCAGACCUCAUAACAGAAGGAUACACUGUGGCCGUCGUUGCGGCGGAUGAAAAUGAUGAUUACUUCUUGUUAAAGGUAUCUCGUUCUCCAUACACAUUGCGAGCAGAGGGUACAGAUGACUGGGGUAAUACUUUCCCGAAAGGAGCACGUGUUGUAGGAGGUUAUUACUACAAAUCGACAGAGUCCGCCUUUAAGAUCGUUAAGAGGAAAAAAGCCCUUGUGUAUUCGCUGGCGGUUUGUUACAUUUUGGACGAGAAAGACAAAAACAGAAGUAUUAGCGUAGAUGAGAACCUCCACCAAGACAUUCUGAACAGUUUGAACAUUUUAGAUGUUUGAUGAUAACAAUAAUUUUAGACAGAACAAAACAGAAAUUUGAUUCAUUAAUGAUAAGUAUUUACGAAUUGUUCGUCAUCGCAUCCAAAGCCAUUUGAAGCUUAUACCGUACUAUUUAACUACACUAAAAUUUUUAAUUAAUAAAUAACUUAAUCUGAACCCAACCAUUGUCACCUUUGAUUGACAAUGUAUACUUUUUUGUUGCGGGAGUUAUUAUUAUACAUGCGUGGUGAGUUGAUAAAUAUCUGCUGUUUCUUGUGUUUAUAUGUGAAGCUGUGAAAUUUCAAAUUAUGUAACUGUCUAGAACUUUGUCGGUCCGUGUAAUGUACAUGUAUUAUUAAGUUGGGUGCAUUAUGUAUAUUAUGUUAUGUCAUGUCUUUCUUAUAAUUAUGUUGAUGUUAAUAAGCAACUAAAUGCUGUAUCAGUAUGUAGCCUCGUGUAGUUCUUCACAGAACAGACAUUCUUUUCAUAACACAUAUGAUACUUUUAUGUGCAAAUUGUUUUAUUAACUUUGUAAAUUUGCACAAGACUGAAAUAAAUAGAUAAGUUGAUGUAUUUCAGUGCGUCCAGACCACCGUUACUAAUCAAGACAGUGCAGAUAAUCAAGAUAAUUAGGUUGUGUCGUGUUCUGAGAAAACUGGGCAUAAUGGCAUGCAUGUGCGAAAAGUGUAGUCCCAUAUGAGCCUGUGCAAUCCGCAUAGGCUAAUCAGGGACGACACUUUCCGCCUUAACAUGAUUUUCGGUAAGGAGGGACUUCCUUGAAACUAAAAAUACCACAAAAGCGGAAAGUGUCGUCCCUGAAAAGCCGGUGCGUACUGCACAGGCAAAUCUGGGACGACACUCAACGCACAUGCAUUAAGCCCAGUUUUCUCAGAACACGGCUCACAUGAUCUCACCACAUAGUGUUUGCCUCGCAUAGUUGUUACAAACAUUAUACAUUCAUUUAUAAAAUCCCUUUAAUCACUUAAGAUAAAAUAGUCAAUUAAACAGUAAUUGUAAAUAGAUAAAGGAUGUUUCAGUUAAAUAAGAAAUCUAGUUGUCCUGCAACCUGUCUCCAAAACAAUAUUUAUCUCGUCGAAAAGAUAUAUAAAUUCUGCGUGUUUUGAUAUGUAAGCUUUAAAAUUCGGAAGAAUAACUGCCACAUAAAAACAAAAAGAAUCAAGAGUCAACGGCUAAAAAUACACCUUAACGUCAGCAUUUAUUUUCCGCAUUUUUGACGUUACGUAACUUUACGCCAGUACUGAGCGCGACGUCAACAUUGAAUUGUUAACCUUUGAAUUACACGAGAGAACACCAUAUGAUGGCACGAUAUUGCAAUAUCGCGAUUUGGCAUUGAAAACUUGCGCCAUCGCAUAGUUUUUGAGAUUUCGAUAUUUGUUUAUUUCGUUAUUGAUCACGAAACGUUUUUUUCGUAAUCACACUUUGUGUUUUCACAUGGGCAACCUUUGAAAUAUUUCUCGAGAAUACGCGAAAACGUGAUUCAAGGCACAAUAUCAAGAUGCGAUACAAUGAGGACAUUAUGGGGUAACGUGAGAUCAUGGUAUUUUAUUUGGUCUAUUUUCUAUUUCCGCAAAUUUUUUUCCGGUUACUUAUGAGCAGACACAACAUUAACAUCCCGCACCAACAAUAUCACAUUUUGCAAUCCGGAAACCAGACUUUUUUCCGUAGUAAUUUACGCAAGCCAUUUUAUAUUGGUUCUCUGUCAGCUAAACACAUAAUCAUGCAAGAAAGAUCACAACAUCGCUCGUUGCAUUCACAAGCAAUAAAGUAAAAUGCUUUUAUACAGGCAAUACUAAUUAAAAGAAAGAGUAGUAUUUAGAAAGAAUAAACAGUUCAAUAUAAUCAAAAUAUGUAGAAGCAAAACAUACACACUCAAAGAAGCGAUAUUAAUGAAGAUACUGAUGAUUAACUUUACAAAGCAUGAAUGAUAAAUUAUAAUGUAGCCGAAAUCACAAGCAAGUUAAUUACACAAGAUUGAAAAUUUACUUUAAGAAGCACGCAUGAUGAAUUAUUAAGUAACAAGUUAAUUACACAUGCUUCCACAAAGCAGUAAGCAGGUUUUGGCGUAUAAACCGUCUAUACAAAUGUGUUCCCAUGUGUAUGUUUGUCAGACUAUGUUAACUACACGUUUAGAACCCCUAAAAUUGUAUUGUGUACGUAUUCUGAAUUAAUCUCCUAAAAUACAACCUGUAUCUUUUACUUCAGCUCUGUCGUCAAGGUGUGUGUGUGUGCGAUGAGCUGGCACCAGCAGUACCAGACGACUGUCCUCAGGGCGAUGUUCAUGGUAUUGCUGCUAAUGAUAAGGAAUGCACAGCGCUGAUAGGCGAUGAUACAUACUUCUGUUACCAAAGUGCCGGAUACAAACCAUGCUGUGAAACAUGUAGCAAGUAUUACAUUGGAAUCGAAGGUUGCGAAUACGGCGAUCGCAUUAAAUCGUGUAUGAAAGACGAUUGUCCAAGAUACGACGCACAAACUGUAAACUUAUGUUGCGAUACAUGCGCCAACGACACAGAUAAAGUAGCGUUUGCUGUAGCGGCUAGUUCAUGUGUCUUCACUACACCAACACCUACAACCACUCCGUUCCCUUCGUCGUCGUCAGAAAGAUCGGAGCAAGUUCACCCCACUUCGCCGCUGUCAGAAACAUCGGAUCUCAGCCCCUCCCCGUCAUCUCCGUCACAAAAAUCAGACGCUUUUUAUAUACAAGCUGCAACAUUUGUGGCAUAUCUAUCAAUUGUGUGGACAGUUGUUGUGUAUGCGUUUUGAGAAUCGAUCGCCUCAAGGUACACUAUGGACAAGAUAGCGUUGCAGUGUUUGGUCUAUUGCGCUUAUUUAUUAAUAUGCAAAUCGUCUUUAAACAUUUACUUUGCCAUUAGCGAUAUGUGUCAGUUUAUGUUAAACAUUACAGAUUUUAAAAUUUAAAGAAUUAUAUUGAUAUAUUGACGCAUAUACAUUGAACGUUAAGGUUGUAUCCUUCCUAUUGCUUGAUUGAUUGAUUUAGUAUAUUAUAAAUAUAUGUUAGAGCAUUUACACAACCACAUAUACAAAUAAACCGUUCUUAUCCAAUUACUGUGUGAUGAAAUAAGAACUAAGACCUUCACACUUAUUUUGACGUUCAACUAAAAGAAUUAAAUAAUGCAUAUCAAUCUGAAACAACUUGUCAUUACCCACAUAUUUUAUGAACGGCGCUUUUUGGAAAUCAAGCAUACACACGUGGCCUUGUAUUAUGCCAUGUAUAUGUUAUGUUGAAAAUAAUAAUUUGAUCGGUAUUGAACCAUUCAAUAUUACAUACUCACAAGCAAACUAUGUUAACUAUGUAAAUAAAUUGAAACAACGAAAUAUGUUAAUUGUAAAAUUAAGAUAAAUUUCUUAUUUAUCUUUGUGGAAGUCUGUAUCAUGUAUUGUUAAAAUUCCUGCAUGAAAUAAACCAUUUUACUUCAA
Dreissena polymorpha is the source of this 5070-nucleotide long non-coding RNA. RefSeq lists it as uncharacterized. The transcript is spliced from 4 exons. The record is from RefSeq and is a predicted model, not a curated record. NCBI's taxonomy places the organism in Eukaryota, Metazoa, Mollusca, Bivalvia, Myida, Dreissenidae.